UUCAGUGAAGUGAUGAGUUUAUUCAUGUCUCUUCUCUGACAUUUGACUGGAGAGAUUUGUAAAGACUUCUGAUCACUGCA
Molecule: small nucleolar RNA, 80 nt
Organism: Clarias gariepinus (North African catfish)
Lineage: Eukaryota; Metazoa; Chordata; Actinopteri; Siluriformes; Clariidae
Product: small nucleolar RNA SNORD111
Exons: 1
Source: RefSeq, a predicted model, not a curated record